RNAcentral lists this ribosomal RNA (200 nucleotides) under uncultured bacterium. RNAcentral's name for it is "partial 16S ribosomal RNA". It matches the Rfam family "Bacterial small subunit ribosomal RNA", at positions 30 to 232 of the family's 1533-position model. The record is from RNAcentral.
AUUGAACGCUGGCGGCAUGCCUUACACAUGCAAGUCGAACGGUAGCAGGCCGCAAGGUGCUGACGAGUGGCGAACGGGUGAGUAAUGCAUCGGAACGUGCCCAGUCGUGAGGGGUAACGCGGCGAAAGCUGCGCUAAUACCGCAUACGAUCCAUGGAUGAGAGCGGGGGACCGUAAGGCCUCGCGCGAUUGGAGCGGCCG